This 376-nucleotide ribosomal RNA is filed under the name uncultured bacterium. Its description in RNAcentral is "bacterial SSU rRNA". It matches the Rfam family "Bacterial small subunit ribosomal RNA", at positions 523 to 898 of the family's 1533-position model. The record is from RNAcentral.
AGACAGAGGGUGCAAACGUUGCUCGGAAUUACUGGGCGUAAAGGGCGCGUAGGCGGAUUUGGAAGUCGGGUGUGAAAUCCCUGGGCUCAACCUAGGAACUGCAUUCGAAACUCCAAGUCUAGAGUGACGGAGAGGAAAGCGGAAUUCCCGGUGUAGAGGUGAAAUUCGUAGAUAUCGGGAGGAACACCAGAGGCGAAGGCGGCUUUCUGGACGUCUACUGACGCUGAGGCGCGAAAGCGUGGGGAGCAAACAGGAUUAGAUACCCUGGUAGUCCACGCCGUAAACGUUGGGCACUAGGUGUCGCGACGAUGACUGUUGCGGUGCCGUAGCUAACGCAUUAAGUGCCCCGCCUGGGGAGUACGGCCGCAAGGCUAAA